This 562-nucleotide small RNA is filed under the name Pan troglodytes (chimpanzee). RNAcentral describes it as "processed transcript". Lineage: Eukaryota; Metazoa; Chordata; Mammalia; Primates; Hominidae. The record is from RNAcentral.
UGCUCGUAGUUUACAUGUCUUGUCAUCUGACAUUGUUGCCAAAAGGCCUUUUUCUUUGUACCAGCAUGUUAUGUGUCUCUAGCUGUCUGUAGUGUGUUUAAAGUCAUUACCCCACUUCAUCAUGAAGACAACAUUAGGUUACAUUCUGCAUUUGUAUCCAAGGAGUUGGCCCACCUGGGGAUGGCUUUAUAAACAAACACCCUCCCCGCUCCAGGUCAAGCCGAAAGGGACGGCAAAGAAGUAUGGUGUGGCCAGGUGAUGGCUUGGUACCAGACACAGCAGAACCCCAUGUGGCCCCAAGCCCCACUCUCCCUAGCACCGAAGAUGUCAUCAGGAAGACUGAACAGAUCACCAAAAACAUACAGGAGCUCUUAAGAGCAGCCCAAGAAAAUAAACAUGACAGUUAUAUUCCCUGCUCAGAGAGGAUACACGUAGCUGUUACAGAAAUGGCAGCAUUAUUCCCCAAAAAACCCAAGUCUGAUAUGGUGAGGACUUCCCUUCGUUUACUGACGUCCAGUGCCUACCGACUGCAGUCAGAGUGCAAGAAGACCCUCCCAGGGGA